This 460-nucleotide ribosomal RNA is filed under the name uncultured bacterium. RNAcentral's name for it is "partial 16S ribosomal RNA". It matches the Rfam family "Bacterial small subunit ribosomal RNA", at positions 338 to 795 of the family's 1533-position model. The record is from RNAcentral.
CCUACGGGCGGCAGCAGUGAGGAAUAUUGGUCAAUGGACGAGAGUCUGAACCAGCCAAGUAGCGUGAAGGAUGACUGCCCUAUGGGUUGUAAACUUCUUUUAUAUGGGAAUAAAAUGUUCCACGUGUGGGAUUUUGUAUGUACCAUAUGAAUAAGGAUCGGCUAACUCCGUGCCAGCAGCCGCGGUAAUACGGAGGAUCCGAGCGUUAUCCGGAUUUAUUGGGUUUAAAGGGAGCGUAGAUGGGUUGUUAAGUCAGUUGUGAAAGUUUGCGGCUCAACCGUAAAAUUGCAAUUGAUACUGGCAGGCUUGAGUACAGUUGAGGUAGGCGGAAUUCGUGGUGUAGCGGUGAAAUGCUUAGAUAUCACGAAGAACUCCGAUUGCGAAGGCAGCUUACUAAACUGCCACUGACAUUGAUGCUCGAAAGUGUGGGUAUCAAACAGGAUUAGAUACCCGUGUAGUC